GAGCAACACCAGACUUGAUGGUUUCUUAUAUCGAUUUUUUCCUAGGAGGUGAUGAGAAACGAUUAGACAUAGUAGCUAGUAUACAGAAGAGAUUUCCCAUGUGCAUUAUCUUCGGUGGGGAUGGAAGUUACAUGUCACCAUAUUAUCUUCAUAGUGACACAUCAUUGACAAAUCUCCUUGCUCAGCAUGUGCCUUCGACUGUAUGGAAUCGCCUGGUAGCUGGUUUAAAUGCCCAGUUAAGAACUGUGAGGCAUGGGUCAAUCCGCUCUGCACUCCUUCCUGUCUUGAAUUGGAUUAAAAGUCAUGGAAACCCCCAGAUUGAGUUUCAUGGUGUUAAGAUUGAGCUUGGGUGGUUUCAAGCAACCGCUAGCGGGUACUACCAAUUGGGUAUUUUGGUACUGGCUGGUGAUCAUUCUUUGUAUGAUCUUACACAAGCUGAAAACUCAGGAAGCUGUGAUGACUGCUCAAGAUUAUCUUACAGGAAGGUUCCAAAAAUAGUACGAAGGAAUCUUAAGCAGCCUCAAGAAAGCCAGCAAUGUGCGAGCCAUGCAUUAUCCCGCAAAAAGAUCACUGGUGGAAUGAAUGGUGGUCUCAUAAAUGAUAUUACUGUGCAAUCCCUUGAUUUUAGAAGGGAUUACCUCUUCCCAUGUUCUUUGCUAUUGCACAAUACCCGCCCAGUUGGUCGUCAGGACACUGUACAGCUGCUGAUCACUAUCUUACUAUUGGCAGAUCUAUUUGUUACCCUUCUUACUUUAGUUUUGUUCUAUUGGGUAUCACUGGGGGCUUUUCUAGCUGUACUGCUUAUCCUCCCUUUAUCUUUGCUUUCACCUUUCCCCGCUGGCCUGAAUGCCUUGUUCAGCAAAGGUCCGAAAAGAGCUACUCUUGCUCGAGUUUAUGCACUGUGGAACGCUACAUCUUUAUCCAAUAUUGCUGUUGCGUUUAUCUGCGGUGCAAUCCACUAUGGAGUUGCUGCAUUGAAGCCCCCAGAUGAUGAAAGUAGUUGGGUUACGAAAAGGGAAGAUGACAAAUGGUGGCUUUUUCCUACGAUUCUGCUGCUAUUUAAGUCUGUUCAAGCUCGAUUUGUUGAUUGGCAUGUAGCAAAUUUAGAAGUUCAAGAUUUUUCUCUAUUCAGUCCAGAUCCUGAUACGUUUUGGGCGUAUGAAGCUGUUUCUUGACAUGAAGAUCUUUGGAUAUAGGAUGGAGAAAUUGUGCAAAUUUUUGGAGUGGCACUUGGAAUUUUGACCUGUAUAUAUAUGUCCAAAUCAGUAUAAAAGCAUUGGUAUACAUGUGCAGUUUUCUUUGAUGUAAUUAGUGUUUUAAGGAGAACAUGAAUAGGGGUUUAGAGAGAGGAUUUUUUUCAGUAGAGGGUUUUUCCUUGUAAAGGGAAUGUAUAGAUGAUUUAAAUUAUUUUUGAGAGAACAUAGAUGGAAUAGGACCAAGUAUUUCUCUUCUUUAUUUAACUUUUUAAGUUUCUAGUUAG
RNAcentral lists this unclassified non-coding RNA (1480 nucleotides) under Hevea brasiliensis (rubber tree). The record is from RNAcentral. Lineage: Eukaryota; Viridiplantae; Streptophyta; Magnoliopsida; Malpighiales; Euphorbiaceae.